RNAcentral lists this unclassified non-coding RNA (240 nucleotides) under soil metagenome. Its description in RNAcentral is "partial contains 5.8S ribosomal RNA, internal transcribed spacer 2, and large subunit ribosomal RNA". The record is from RNAcentral.
AACACUGUUAACCUGCGGUACCUGCGGAAGGAUCAUUACAAAUCCAAAACAUACUUUGUUGAACAAAAAAAGGCUUUCAGCAUGCCCUUUUGCCUUGCUGCACAGUUGACUUGAUAUACUGCCGCUAGAUGAGCUUUAGCGAAGGUAGAUGAGUGUCAGCUUAACUCUUUUCCCACCCUUGGGGGUAAUAGGGUGGGAAAGUUUAAGCUAAUCUUGUAUCUGCUAACGUUACUUCUCAUG